Molecule: ribosomal RNA, 564 nt
Filed under: Bipolaris oryzae
Lineage: Eukaryota; Fungi; Ascomycota; Dothideomycetes; Pleosporales; Pleosporaceae
Description: eukaryotic LSU rRNA
Rfam family: 5.8S ribosomal RNA (bases 199-352)
Source: RNAcentral
CGGAGGGAUCAUUACACAAUCCAAAAUAUGAAGGCCAAAUGGCAUUUCGCGGCCGGCUGAAGUAUUUUUUUCACCCAUGAUCUUUUGCGCACUUGUUGUUUCCUGGGCGGGUUCGCCCGCCACCAGGACCAAACCAUAAACCUUUUUUUCUUAUGCGAGUUUCCAUCAAAGCGUCAGUAAAAACAAUGUAAUUAUUACAACUUUCAACAACGGAUCUCUUGGUUCUGGCAUCGAUGAAGAACGCAGCGAAAUGCGAUACGUAGUGUGAAUUGCAGAAUUCAGUGAAUCAUCGAAUCUUUGAACGCACAUUGCGCCCUUUGGUAUUCCAAAGGGCAUGCCUGUUCGAGCGUCAUUUGUACCUUCAAGACUUUGCUUGGUGUUGGGCGUUUUUUUGUCUCCCUCUUUCUGGGAGACUCGCCUUAAAACGAUUGGCAGCCGGCCUACUGGUUUCGGAGCGCAGCACAUUUUUUGCGCUUUGUAUCAUGGGAGAAAAGGACGGUACUCCAUCAAGACUCUACAUUUUUCACUUUUGACCUCGGAUCCAGUAUGGAUACCCGCUGAGCU